Molecule: small nuclear RNA, 98 nt
Filed under: Nannospalax galili (Upper Galilee mountains blind mole rat)
Lineage: Eukaryota; Metazoa; Chordata; Mammalia; Rodentia; Spalacidae
Source: RNAcentral
GUGCUCCCUUCUGCAACACAUAUACUAAACUUGGAACGCUACAGAGCCCAGUCCCUAAGUAAGAAUGACACACAGUUUGUGAAGCACUCUUUAUUUUU